Gastrolobium bilobum is the source of this 1786-nucleotide long non-coding RNA. RefSeq lists it as uncharacterized. The record is from RefSeq and is a predicted model, not a curated record. The transcript is spliced from 3 exons. NCBI's taxonomy places the organism in Eukaryota, Viridiplantae, Streptophyta, Magnoliopsida, Fabales, Fabaceae.
AGUAAGAAACAAGAUGUGGUUGCCAGAUCAAGUGCAGAAGCUGAAUUUCGAGCUAUGGCUCAAGGCAUUUGUGAGUUACUGUGGCUGAAAAUUGUUCUUGAUGAUCUCAAAAUAAAAUGUGAGGGACCUAUGAAGCUGCUAUGUGAUAAUAAGUCCGCUAUUUGUAUAGCUCAUAAUCCAGUUCAACAUGAUCGGACUAAACAUAUUGAGGUUGACCGCCAUUUCAUCAAAGAGAAACUUGAUAGCGGGUUGAUUACUACUCCAUACAUUCCCACUGGGCGUCAAUUGGCUGAUCUAUUAACAAAGGGGCUUCCUUCAGACAGAUUUCAAGAACUUACUAGCAAGCUGAGAAUGAUAAAUAUUUAUUCCUCAGCUUGAGGGGGAGUGUUGUAAAUAAUAUUGAUUUAGUUAUUAUUUAGUUUUUAUUUAGUCAUUUAUUGUUGUAUUGGGCUAAGUUCUUUGUUGUAUUGGGCCAAACCCAUUAGGUUAAAAGUAGGUCAAAUAUUCUCUAUAAAUAGAGAACCCUUUGUACAGAUUAUUUACAAUUCUAUAAUAUAUUAGAAUACCCUUUUCAAGUUUCUCAUUUUGUGAUGCCGAAUUUGAAGAAAGUUCGCAUAUUUUUUCCUAAGAAGUUAGAGUCCAUAUUCCCAAUGAGUUGUGUUGAAGGACUUGCACGACCGGAAGACGUAGAAAUAGUGGAGGAUCUUGAGCUGAAAUAUGUAUUUGGUGAAUGUGAUCAUGGAGAUAAUUCAUCACACCAAAGCGAGAACCAGAUUAUGCUUCCUCAUUUGGAAGUUCUCAAUCUUGAUGGACUUGAAAUAUCUCAUUGGGAUAUAUCCUGAAAACUAUGGUGCAAAGUGGCCAUCUCAGAGGAAGCUAACUGUUGUGCAGUGUCUGAAAUUGAGUACAUCAUGGAUUGCUGUGAUGGCUGCCUCUGAGCAAAGACACCGGCAUAUGGAUGAAGAAAUUAUCCUUUCUAAGGACCAGCAAAAGCACUUAUGCUUUCUAGAGUUACGAGGUUUGCCUCAAUUGAACCUUAUAUCAUGGGUAGGUCCUACUCCCGGACAGAUUUUGAGUCUCCAAUGUCUUCAGCAUUUUCAAGUGUUUCAAUGUGAAAACUUGAAAUAUAUUUUCCCCGUGGAAGUACAUAGGAGCCUACCAGGGUUGAUGUGGCUUCAUAUAUACGACUGCCAAGAAUUGGAACAAAUCAUUGCAGAAAAUGAAGAACUCGAGCACCUAUCCAAUGCUGAAGUAUUCUUUCCAAAGAUAACAAAUGUAACCAUUAAAAACUGCAACAAAUUGAAAAGCCUUUUUUCACUGUUGCUGUGGUUAAAAUGCUUCCAAAAUUAAGCAUUCUUGAUAUAUCAGAGGCUACUCAACUAGAAGAGGUUUCUAGACAUAACAGUGAAGACGGCACUAUCAAUGAAAGAGAAAUUGUGCUUCCGAACUUAACAGAGAUGGAACUGAAAGAGCUGUCGAGUUUUGUUGAUAUCUGCCAUGGUUCUAAGUUACACGCCGUGAAACUUCAAAAACUCCAUAUAGAUGAAUGCCCCAAAACGGCUCCAAGUUUGAGAGCAAUUCAGGUGCAACUAGAAGAAGCGAAAAGAAGAUGAUGAAGAAUCUUCUAUUGAUUGAAGAUGGAAUCCAUAUACUUCCAAUUGUAAGAGAUCAAGUGGUACAAAUAAUAUAGUAUUAUCUAUUAACUUACUUAUAUAUAAUUGAAAAACUGUGCAAGUAUCAUUAAGUAAAGAAUGUUCAGAUUUCAAUAGAGAUGAUGUUGUUGAAC